Molecule: ribosomal RNA, 164 nt
Filed under: uncultured bacterium
Lineage: Bacteria
Description: partial 16S rRNA
Rfam family: Bacterial small subunit ribosomal RNA
Source: RNAcentral
UAGGGAAUCUUCCACAAUGGGCGCAAGCCUGAUGGAGCAACGCCGCGUGAGUGAAGAAGGUCUUCGGAUCGUAAAACUCUGUUGUUAGAGAAGAACACGAGUGAGAGUAACUGUUCAUUCGAUGACGGUAUCUAACCAGAAAGCCACGGCUAACUACGUGCCAG